GAACCCUGAUCCAGCCAUGCCGCGUGUGUGAAGAAGGCCCUCGGGUUGUAAAGCACUUUCAGCGAGGAAGAACGCCUAGCGGUUAAUACCCGCUAGGAAAGACAUCACUCGCAGAAGAAGCACCGGCUAACUCCGUGCCAGCAGCCGCGGUAAUACGGAGGGUGCAAGCGUUAAUCGGAAUUACUGGGCGUAAAGCGCGCGUAGGUGGCUUGAUAAGCCGGUUGUGAAAGCCCCGGGCUCAACCUGGGAACGGCAUCCGGAACUGUCAAGCUAGAGUGCAGGAGAGGAAGGUAGAAUUCCCGGUGUAGCGGUGAAAUGCGUAGAGAUCGGGAGGAAUACCAGUGGCGAAGGCGGCCUUCUGGACUGACACUGACACUGAGGUGCGAAAGCGUGGGUAGCAAACAGGAUUAGAUACCCUGGUAGUCCACGCCGUAAACGAUGUCGACCAGCCGUUGGGUGCCUAGCGCACUUUGUGGCGAAGUUAACGCGAUAAGUCGACCGCCUGGGGAGUACGGCCGCAAGGUUAAAACUCAAAUG
This 537-nucleotide ribosomal RNA is filed under the name Halomonas sp. Its description in RNAcentral is "bacterial SSU rRNA". It matches the Rfam family "Bacterial small subunit ribosomal RNA", at positions 378 to 907 of the family's 1533-position model. The record is from RNAcentral. Lineage: Bacteria; Pseudomonadati; Pseudomonadota; Gammaproteobacteria; Oceanospirillales; Halomonadaceae.